AAUGGGGGAAACCCUGACGCAGCCAUGCCGCGUGAGUGACGAAGGCCCUAGGGUUGUAAAACUCUUUCAGAUGCGAAGAUAAUGACGGUAACAUCAGAAGAAGCUCCGGCUAAAUUCGUGCCAGCAGCCGCGGUAAUACGAAUGGAGCGAGCGUUGUUCGGAAUCAUUGGGCGUAAAGCGUAUGUAGGCGGAUUAGGAAGUCAGGAGUGAAAUCCCGGGGCUCAACCCCGGAAUUGCUCUUGAAACUCCUAAUCUAGAGUCCCGGAGAGGUUGACGGAAUUCCGAGUGUAGAGGUGAAAUUCGCAGAUAUUCGGAGGAACACCAGUGGCGUAGGCGGUCAACUGGACGGGAACUGACGCUCAGAUACGAAAGCGUGGGUAGCAAACAGGAUU
RNAcentral lists this ribosomal RNA (392 nucleotides) under uncultured Alphaproteobacteria bacterium. RNAcentral describes it as "bacterial SSU rRNA". It matches the Rfam family "Bacterial small subunit ribosomal RNA", at positions 370 to 779 of the family's 1533-position model. Lineage: Bacteria; Pseudomonadati; Pseudomonadota; Alphaproteobacteria. The record is from RNAcentral.